GAUGAACGCUAGCUACAGGCUUAACACAUGCAAGUCGAGGGGAAAUGACAUCGAAAGCUUGCUUUUGAUGGGCGUCGACCGGCGCACGGGUGAGUAACGCGUAUCCAACCUGCCCAUCACUUGGGUAUAACCUUGCGAAAGUAAGACUAAUACCCAAUGAUAUCUCUAGAAGACAUCUGAAAGAGAUUAAAGAUUUAUCGGUGAUGGAUGGGGAUGCGUCUGAUUAGCUUGUUGGCGGGGUAACGGCCCACCAAGGCAACGAUCAGUAGGGGUUCUGAGAGGAAGGUCCCCCACAUUGGAACUGAGACACGGUCCAAACUCCUACGGGAGGCAGCAGUGAGGAAUAUUGGUCAAGGGGCGAGAGCCUAAACCAGCCAAGUAGCGUGCAGGAAGACGGAGCUAUGGGAUGUAAACUGCUUUUAUAAGGGAAUAAAGUGAGAGUCGUGACUCUUUUUGUAUGUACCUGAUGAAUAAGGACCGGCUAAUUCCGU
This 491-nucleotide ribosomal RNA is filed under the name uncultured bacterium. RNAcentral describes it as "partial 16S ribosomal RNA". It matches the Rfam family "Bacterial small subunit ribosomal RNA", at positions 28 to 506 of the family's 1533-position model. The record is from RNAcentral.